GAGCCUUAAAGGCGCGGAAA
This 20-nucleotide transfer RNA is filed under the name Thermofilum pendens. RNAcentral describes it as "tRNA-Gly". The record is from RNAcentral. Lineage: Archaea; Thermoproteati; Thermoproteota; Thermoprotei; Thermofilales; Thermofilaceae.